GGCUAGUAAAAUUAUCACGGGUAUCCUCUCCUCUAAAGCUAAGGAACACAUCAUACUUUUGUUUUCGAGCCAUGGAGGAAGAUGCCAUAAUGGACUGUUACAAUAUACUGGUGACCAAAAAAUCACUUCAAGUUGGAAUUCAGCAAAGGCUCCCUUGUCUCCUGGGAAACUUGAUUUACAGUGAAAAGAUCAUAAAGGCAACAUUUUUUUUUUUUUUUGCUUCGAUCAGGUAAUAGCGCAAACAAGAAAGAGAGAAAGAUAAU
RNAcentral lists this unclassified non-coding RNA (263 nucleotides) under Hevea brasiliensis (rubber tree). Lineage: Eukaryota; Viridiplantae; Streptophyta; Magnoliopsida; Malpighiales; Euphorbiaceae. The record is from RNAcentral.